Molecule: unclassified non-coding RNA, 1259 nt
Filed under: Hevea brasiliensis (rubber tree)
Lineage: Eukaryota; Viridiplantae; Streptophyta; Magnoliopsida; Malpighiales; Euphorbiaceae
Source: RNAcentral
AUCUUGCAGCCUUUUCCAUCCAAGGAAAUGGUUCUUGGUGUCUGCUGAAGAGAUGAAUUUCUGUAGAGAAUCAUUUGGCAGGUACUCGUAAACCAGAGCUCUUCUAAACCCGUCAGCACAGAAUCCAAUCAAGCGAACCACAUUGACAUGGUGGAUUUUACCUAUUGUUCCAACUUCAUUGACGAACUCCUCUCCGUUUCCUUUGGAGUUGUUGAGGACUUUAACAGCUACCAAAAUUUCAUCAGAUAGCUUUCCUCUGAACACAGUUCCAUAAGCUCCUUGGCCCAAUUCGUCCUUGAAUUGGUUAGUCAUCCUCUUAAUAUCAUCAUAGGAAUAUCUAGUAGGCUUGAAAGAUUUGUAGUCAUCCAAAAAUUUUUCAAUCUUGGACUGAUAUUGUCUUUCUAUUUUGUUGAACCUAUAACUGCGGCAGAGUAGAAUGGCUGCUGCUACAAGGAGGAUAGGACCCAGGAUUACACCUGUUUCUACAAAUUUGGCUGCUAUCCCUUUAUGUGGCUUGAAAACGAGCAUGCCGUAGCAUUGAGUUUCAGAUGUGUUGUUGUUGCUCUUCAAUCUGCAGUACUUGCCUUUAACUUCACAAUGUUUACAUUUGGGAUUGUCCCAACUCAAACCAAGAAUACUUUCCUGGGAAUAGAAAUCAUAAUCAUAUGGAACUGGUGAAAUAUCACGUAUCUUGGUGCAAGACAACAGGUCAAGGUCACCGAUAGAACUAUCUGAAUCAACGGCAUAGACUUGAUAUUGUGGACGACUAAGGCAGGGGAUUAGGUCUGAACCUCCUUUUGAAGAGCAAUUGAAUAAGGUGCGUUCAUACGGGGAAACCAUAAAAUGGAAGGGAGAAACAGAUAGAUUGAAGUUCAAAAGCCUUCUUGGAAGACAAACUUCAGCUGGAUCAUUAGCAUAAAUAACUUGAAAGUUAUAAUCAAUGUCAUGGAUGAAGAGUUUCCCCCAAUUUGCAAGCUCCAGAACAGUAUCGUUCUUCUCUGAGCAAGAAAGGUGAAACUCAGAUUGAGGAUAUCCACAGUGGAAUGGUUGCCUGCCUUUGAUUCGGAAGGGAAAUCGGACGGGCGGGCCGUAGCUACCACAUGUUGAUGUAUUGCAAUCAUCAAGGCAUAAUCCAUGAUCUUCAAGCAAUACAAUCAACCACAACAAGCAAAUCAAAGAUACAUUCAUUUCUUUUGAAUUACUCGCCAUUCCUAUCAACAAUCUUAUUUUUUAUAGCUUUUGCUUCUUAAUUAGCUUAU